GCCUUCGUGGUGGAAUGGUCAGCACGAUGGGCACGUAUUUCAGAGGUCCGUGGUUCGAGUCCCGGCGAAGACG
Molecule: transfer RNA, 73 nt
Filed under: Stegodyphus mimosarum
Lineage: Eukaryota; Metazoa; Arthropoda; Arachnida; Araneae; Eresidae
Rfam family: tRNA
About the family: Transfer RNA (tRNA) molecules are approximately 80 nucleotides in length. Their secondary structure includes four short double-helical elements and three loops (D, anti-codon, and T loops).
Source: Rfam by way of RNAcentral